UGAGUGUUAUACACCUAUAACAAAUAACUAUAAUCCAUAGAAAAGCAAACAGGCUUAAGCAGGGUAGAGGCAGUACAGUAACGUUAUGGUUAGCACAAUGCUUUACAGUACAGGCGACCCCGGUUCAAUUCCUGCCACUGCCUAUAAGGAGUUUGUACAUUCUCCCUGUGACUGUGUGGGUUCCCUGGUUUUCUCCCACAGUCCAAAGACAUCCCUGGUAAUUGGUCAUUGUAUAUUGUCCCGUGAUUAGUCCAGGAUUAAGUCAGGGGAUUGCCUGGCAUCAUGGCUCGAAGGCCCUAUUCUAUGCUAUAGCUCAGUAAAUAAAUAAAUGAGCCCUAUGCAUUGUUUCAGCUCUGCCUCCAUGUGUAGUGGUUGAAGUAGCCUAGACUGUGGUCUUUGCAUUGACUGCACUAAGUUUUGGAACACCCCUCAGACCUUGCUCAGCCCGUGGCAUUCUGUGCACACAUCUCACAGUGCAGGAAGACCAACAAGUUUCAGGCAGAUCAAAGGGCAUCUUUAACCAAGUUGAUGACCUCUGAACUGCACUAGAUAUCUGUCUCAGAGUGCCUGCAGGUCAGUGAGAUCUCCUAUUCACACCUGCUGGAUCUGGACUCUGGAAUCUGUCUCCAAAAUCUGCAAAGAGGUGACUGCCUGGCUCUUCCCACCCACGGCCAUUUCAAGUGUGGUGGACGGUACAUUGGGGGAUACAACUCUUCCACAAAGCACCGGUUAUGCAGCAAUAUCUACUUGACUAUGGCGUUAUGUAGUUACAGGGCCAGGCCUACCUUUCCCAACACCAGGGACGGGUAAAACCUCACCCCAUGGUGAUCCUUGGUGCCCAUGUACUUGAGGCCACACACUGCCAGAUACAGAAACACCCAGAGGUGCUCAUCAGGAUGAGAGCGAAGUUGGGUCCAUUUUUGCUCCCAUCCUCUGCAUCAUGACUCAUUAGUACUGCUUCAUCUUGGAGAUGGAGGAGAUGCCCAGUGAUUCCCGAGGCAAAGGAGCAAGUACAGACUGCACCCAUGUCAAGUACAACAGCCCUGAGAGCACAUCACUCUUGAUGACCAAACUCUUCCCAGUUAUUGACAGAGAAUACCAUUUCCACAGGCCCAAUCUUUGUUUUACCUUCCCAAUCCAUUCCAGCCAAUUCUUGUUCUACACAUUAGCCCCACUGAACCAGAGCCCCAGAAACUUCAGGAAGUCAGACCAGAUGGCGAAGGGGAAGUUGGAUUGAUCGGGCCAGUUGGCGAAGAACAUGGUUCUUCCUGCAGUUGGCUCUGGCCCCCGAUUGUAAACCCGUACAUCAUCCAUGUAGAAGAAAGUUUUAACUUGUGUGCUUCCUCUGCCUGGCAAUAUCACCCCUCGUAGACUUAAUUUGGUUGAAUUUAAUAUUUCCAGCUGCCACCUGAGAUUACAAACACACAUUGCCAGAAUUGUGACAGGCAAAACAAUGUAGUUCUUCAAACCUAUAGCUCAGAGUUCCACCAGUAUGGUUUCCAUCCACUGCCUCCAUUUUGCUUACACCAUCUAAAAAGAGAUGUAUUACCGUUUACAAGUUUCAACAGUCUCCCCUGGGCAACACCAGCUUCAGUCACCAACCCUGUAGUGGAUAUUACUUUUUGAUCUCUCCAACCCUCUUUCUUCUGGGCAUGUUUUUAAAAAAAGUCUGUGUUCAAAAAUGUUCAAGUUCUGAAGAAAGCUGAACAACCUGAAAUAGUAGCACUGUUUUUCUCUCCACAGAUGCUAUCCUUGGUAUUUCUAGCAUCUUCUGUUUUUAUUUCAGAUUUCCAGAAUCUGCAGGGUUUUUAUUUUGCUUGUCUAUCUCCAAAGAUGUUUGCUGACCUGUUUAAUAUCUCCAUUUUCUGAGUUAAACGGAAAUCCUGCCAAUGGUUGCUGGUUUUUAUUUCCUGGAUCCACUUUGGCGGACGCAAAUGAGGAUUCUGGCAGAGGAUUUGGAAAGUCUGAAAGAGCAGCCCAAACAGGCAACACCUCCUUUUUGUGAGGGUGUAGGGAGAACACUUUUGGAAAACAUUUUAAAUGCAGCAAAAUGCUGGUAAUCUGUUGUCUAACCAUUCAGAAAUCCCAGUGGUUUGGCAACUGGCUCACCAGGUGAUUGUAGUAAUUUUUACUUACGUGGGAGUGUUCAUUUGCUCCCUCCCACUGAGGCCUAAUCCUGUGUUCCCUUGCCCUUAUGGGACCCCAGUUCCUAUGCAUCCUGACCACCUACUGUGCUCCCUUUGAAUUUACCUGGUUCUGUUGGCAGCAUUCCUUUUUAUCUUUUCUGGUUCAUUUCCUCUGCUCUCUUUCAACUUACUGAGUUCAAAGUGAAUAAAAAUGUAUUAGGAAAUCUGAUAAUCUGGCACCACUUGCCCUAAUCGUGCAGGGUUGUUGUUAAGUGCCGUCGAGCUGUCGUCAACGCAUGGCGACCCUAUGGAGAGUUGCCAUAAAUGAGUUUCGAUCCUCGUGAAGGCAGUUCUUUGUUGAUAACGUUGCAUUCAUAGCUGUCCUUGUUGUGUACGUUCAUCCAAUUGGUGGCCUCCCUCUCGUGCAUUGUCCUUUCACCUUGUAGAGCAUGAUGUCCUUUUCCAGAGAGCUGUUUCUUCACAUGAUGUGCCCAACAGGCGGAUUCUUGUCAUUUGAGCCUCCAGAGAGAGACUUGGUUUGGUCUCAUUGAGAACUGAUUUGUCUGCUCUGUGAGAGGUCCACAAGGUGCAUAGUCUUUUUCUCCAGUACCACAGUUUAAAGGUUUCCUAUCCUUCUUCUCUACUGUCCAGCUUUUGCAUCCGUAUAAUGUCGAUGAGAACGCCAUCAUCUGCACCAGUCCAAUCUUAGUAUGUAGAGAUAGAUUCCUGUUCCAGAGGAUCUUCUCCAAAUUCUCCAUGUGCAAGAUAAAGGUUCCUUUUAAAUUUUGUGGGAAUCAGUCGCUGUUUAGGUGCAGUGGCUGCAUUUUGCAACCAGGCGGCACUGCGGGGAGAUACUUCCCAGCCUGCAGAGUUCCUCCAGCAUUUUGUGUGUGUUGCUCAGAUUUGGGUACAUUUCCGGGUACAGACGCCGGCGGCGCUGCGGCGGGUGCAGUUGCGGGGUGUGGCCACGGGCGGCGCUGCGGCGGGUGCAGUUGCGGGGUGUGGCCACGGGCGGCGCUGCGGCGGGCUGCGCGCGGAGCCGUGGAGACGAGCCGGCGGGGUGGAGUGAGCGCCGGAGCCGGGAAUGGAGAAAGCGCAGCGUUGGGGAUCGAAUUGAGAGACAGGGCCGGGCGACGGUGGGAGCGAACGAGUGCCGGCGGCAGUGGCACUAACGAGUGGACGGAGGGCCGCCGGUAGUCAGGACAGGGGAUGAGUGCGGAGCCGUGAGAUGUGUAAGGAUGGUGUGUAGAGCUGAGACUAUUGUGUCAUCUGUCGAUCGAGGUGAAUUGUCUCGAGAACCUACUAUGAGCCGUGCAGGAUGGAGGAAGCGUGCCAGUGAAGAUGAUGGCUGGAGAGAUUGGAGUGGUUACAUGGCAGCAAAGAUUGACAAGCUGGAAAGGCAAUUCAAAUCAGAUUCUUCACUUCAACAACAAAAUGAAGGGACAGCGUCUUGCAUUUUCAAAGGUGUUGCAAUUUAUGUCAAUGGUUACACAGAGCCAACAGCUGAUGAGCUGAGAAGGCUUAUGAUGCUGCAUGGAGGCCAGUAUCAUAUGUACUACUCGAGGUCUAAAACUACACACAUUAUUGCCACUAACUUGCCAAAUUCAAAGAUAAAAGAACUAAAGGAAGAAAAAGUUGUUCGACCUAAUUGGAUUACAGACAGCAUAAAAGCUGGGUGCCUCCUUUCUUACAUUCCUUAUCAGCUCUAUGCCAAGCAUUCAAGUGUCCAGAAAGAAUUGAACUUCACUGUGAACAAACCUGAAGAACCAGUACCAGGCCCCAGCAGUAUUUACAAAUUUAAUAGAAAUGUAAGAAGUAUAACCAACAACCAAGAGAAUGCAAAACACAAGGGAAAGGGGAACCAGACCAACAGCGGAAUAAAUGGAUGGGACAAGAACAAUGAAGAUUUUGAAGUAAUGGAAUUGGAGCCUGCUUAUCCCAGUCUAAAUCACAAUGGAGUUCAUAGCUGUAGAGACCAUUUUUCUGUUUAUAACACCAGUGAGCCCAAUUCUAAUAGUGCCUUAAAAACACAAGAUUAUUUAAAACCUUGCCGCGAAACGAUCUGGGAAAAAGAACCUGGAACCCUUGAAGCAUCGGAAGAGGAAAACGAUGACUGUGAAACAGAUUUCAAAAACUGUGAAGGGCAAUUAGCAGAAGGUAGUACUUUGUUGUCUAACUGCACAAGGACUCCUUCAAAUUCUUCAUUAAAUGAAUGCUUUAAAAUAAAUGGGGCUAACCAAUCUGCAAUUCAGGAGAUUCCAAGAAUGAAACGCACUUCGGAGCCUUCGCCUACUAAAGGAUCUUCCCACUGGUCAACUAAACCUGCAGAUGCAAAUUUUAUAUCUGAGUUUUAUGCCCAUUCAAGACUGCAUCACAUUGCAAUGUGGAAAUGUGAGUUUACAGAAUAUGUAAACAGACUUCAAAAACAAAAUAAUGGUGUCUACCCAGGCAGAGAGAAACUAAAAAAAAUGAAUAUGGAAAAAUUUCAGAGGAAUACUAGAGACACGAACCAUUUGGGCACACCAGACCUACCAAGACAUAAGAACUGUAUAAUGCAUAUUGAUAUGGACUGUUUCUUUGUAUCAGUGGGAAUUCGUGAUCACCCAGAACUGAAGGGAAAGCCAGUAGCUGUUACCCACAACAGAGGUCAUGGCCAUGUAUCUGUCCGACCUAAUGCUAAUCCACAAUUUGAAAUGCAAUACUACCAGAAGAAGAUGGUAAAUGACAAGAUGGAGAAAAAAGUGCCUGACAAAGUGGAUGGCAACACCUGGGAGAAUCCGACACCUGCCUCUGUGAAUGGCAUCAACAUGGAUCUGAUGGCCUUAUCAAUGGCAGAAAUUGCAUCGUGCAGUUAUGAAGCUAGACAGACUGGUAUUAAGAAUGGCAUGUUUUUUGGACAAGCAAAGAAGUUGUGCCCUGAUCUUCAAGCCGUCAGCUACAACUUCAAAGCUUACAAAGAAGUAGCAUCAAUUAUGUAUGAAACGCUGGCAAGCUAUACUUAUGAUAUUGAAGCUGUCAGCUGCGAUGAAGCUCUUGUAGACAUAACAGCAAUUUGUACAGAAACUGGUUUGACACCUGAUGAGAUAGCAACUGUUAUUCGCUCUGAGAUUAAGGAAAAAACACAAUGUACUGCAUCAGUUGGAAUGGGAUCGAACAUUCUGCUGGCCAGAAUGGCCACUCGUAAGGCCAAGCCGGAUGGACAAUAUUAUCUAAAACCAGAGGAAGUGGAUGAUUUUAUCAAAGAUCAACUUGUAAGCAGUCUACCAGGAGUUGGAAGGGCACUAGAAUACAAAAUGGCAUCAUUUGGUGUUAAAACAUGUGGAGAACUGCAGCAGAUUUUGAUGCCAAGACUUCAAAAGGAAUUUGGGCCAAAAACAGGCCAAAUGCUUUACAGAUUCUGCCGAGGUCUAGAUGAUAGACCAGUCCGAACGGAGAAAGAGCGAAAAUCUGUAUCUGCAGAAAUUAAUUAUGGAAUUCGGUUUAGUCAGAUAAAAGAGGCAGAGCUAUUUCUUCUCAGUCUUGUGGGAGAAAUACAACGGCGACUGGAAAUGUCUGGAAUGCAAGGAAAGCGUCUAACUCUUAAAGUGAUGGUGAGAAAACCUGGUGCACCUAUAGAACCAGCUAAAUUUGGUGGGCACGGAGUCUGUGACAACAUUACUAGAAGUGUGACUUUAGAUCAUGCAACUUGCAGUGCAAAAAUAAUUAGCAGAGAAGUACUGAACAUGUUCCAUAUGAUGAAGCUGAAUGUGACAGAUAUGAGAGGGGUUGGAAUUCAGAUGAAUCAGUUAAUCCCGGAUACCAAAGCUUCACUUAAUUCCUUCUCUUCAUUUAUACGAAGUAACUCUGCUGGUGGGUUAUCGUGUCCAAAGGCAGAUCUGUUUCAGAAAUCAAGAUCAAAGAAAGCUGUGGAACCCAGGCUUUCAGAAGACUCUGAUUCCUCGAGAAAAAAGACAUCAACAAGUGGACACUCUCCAUUGCUUGCAUCUAGUACAAAUAUCAGUAAAUCAGAAACUUUAUUAAAAUCUGAUGGAAUGCAUACCUCUGAGAACACACCUAUCCGUAGGAAUAUAGCUGAUGUUAAUAUUGAAGUGCCAUCUCCUUCUCAGAUAGAUCCUACCGUUUUGGCAGCACUUCCUCCAGAUAUAAGAGAGCAGGUGGAGCAGGCGUUCUCUGCUCGACAGCAGCCCGGUUUUACUGACAUCCGUGUCAAAGAGUCAGUGAGAGGCAUUGCCACUGGACAUGUGCCUGCAUCAAUGGGGACACUGAUUCUUGAGUUACCAGGAGCUCAGGAAACAAGCAAUGCUGCUGGAAUGAUAGUAGCCCUCCCAGCUUUUUCACAGGUUGAUCCUGAGGUUUUCGCUGCUCUUCCCCUUGAUGUACAAGAAGAACUAAAAACUGCUUAUGAUCAAAAGCAUCGACAAGGCCUGAAAAGUCAGUUACUACAGUUGAAGAAUCCUCUUCCUGAAAAAUCAAAGAAACGGUUUAAAAAGAAGAAUCAUACCAGUCCUAUUAAAGCUCUUAGUCCUCUUAAAAAUAAGUUAAUGGUCAGUCCACUUAAAGUACUGCCUGAAUUGAUUCGACAUGAACACCAAGGCAAAGAAAAAAAUCAGAGUGAUCCUGUUGCUUCCACAUCUGAUCAUCAGGCUAUCGCAUCCCCACAGCAUGAUAUCUGUGCUGACUCAGUGUACCUGAGAGCUAACCUUGCCGGAGCCUAUCAACUAAAAGAUGUAAAAUCACUUCUAAAAGAAUGGGUUACAACAAUUGGAGAACCGGUGGAAGAGGAUAUUUUGCAGGUGGUUAAGUAUUGUACUGACCUCAUUGAAGAAAAAGAUCUAGAAAAGUUGGACCUCGUCAUUAAGUACAUGAAAAGGUAGUGCCUUCAAACUUACUCUUGUCGUACGCCAUUAAUCUUCAAUGGGCUUGCAUUUACUGAAAGCUUGUGCCAUAGUAAUGGUGCAUCUACAGCGUACACCAUUAUUAUCAUUUUGCAGAAAUUCCAGGAACUUGUGCGCUAAUCCAACAAUCUGCUGACUCCCUGUGGAACAUGGCUUUUGAUUUCAUUCUUGACAAUGUUCAGGUUGUAAUGCAACAAAUCUAUGGAAGCAUGUUAAAAUUUACAUGAAAAGACACUGCUGGUGAUAUUUUUAAAAACUGUAAAACACUGGAGCCUGGAGCUCUCAUCUUGUGCCAUAAAACCUUUGUGAAGCUCUUAAAAUUUGCAUGGUAGAAACGCAUUGUGUUUUUAUGAAACAUUUCUGAUAAACAACAUUUUGUAGUUUUUUUCCCCCUUGGCAAAUAUUGUGUGCCAAAUUCUUGUUGAAGUUGCAUGUAAAUAACUGUGUUGUAUAAAGUAUGUAUGUAGAAUACAUUGUGUUUACAGAAUUGUUGUUUAUAAGUUUGUUUUUUAGUGGUUUACUUCUAUUUAAUAAAAAAGUUUGUUGUGAAUUCAUAA
RNA transcript from Hypanus sabinus (Atlantic stingray), 7578 nucleotides. It is a transcript of the gene named REV1 DNA directed polymerase, with no coding region annotated. The transcript has 25 exons. NCBI's taxonomy places the organism in Eukaryota, Metazoa, Chordata, Chondrichthyes, Myliobatiformes, Dasyatidae. The record is from RefSeq and is a predicted model, not a curated record.